This is a long non-coding RNA of Dreissena polymorpha, 512 nucleotides long. RefSeq lists it as uncharacterized. Lineage: Eukaryota; Metazoa; Mollusca; Bivalvia; Myida; Dreissenidae. The transcript is spliced from 3 exons. The record is from RefSeq and is a predicted model, not a curated record.
CUUAUCUUGUAUUUAAAGUUAGGUUUAAAAUAGUGCGCAGUAUAUAUUUCACAUUCAUUCACUAAACUUGUAAAGGUAAACAAAGCAUAGCAAUGGACAAGCGUGUUGCAUUAUUUGCGAUUGUUCUCAUCACAUCAGUAUUCAUAGAGUGUUGGGCACAGUUUGCAGAGAAGGGUGAAAUAUGUGGUGGAUAUGCGGGGACCCCGUGCAAUGAGGGACUGAGAUGUGAUAAUUCACUGGGCACUGCUGGGCGUUGUAGAAGUGGGGGAUUCUUGGCGAUUUUAGCUCCCAGUCAGGACACAUGGUGAAAAAUCUAUUACGAAACGGAUGAAGUCUGUCAUAUUUCCAACUCGAUGUUCCUUCAUUAUCGAACACGGAUUGUAUUUGCCAUUAUAUUACAUUUUAUACUGUUUAAUUAUUAAUUUAAAUUGCGUUUAUUAAUUAUUUCGUGAUUAUUUUAUGCGUGUGUAUCUUGAAGGAAAUAAAUUGUGAUAAAACAAUCAACAACAUAU